This 74-nucleotide transfer RNA is filed under the name Trachinus draco (greater weever). RNAcentral's name for it is "tRNA-Val". It matches the Rfam family "tRNA". Rfam says of the family: Transfer RNA (tRNA) molecules are approximately 80 nucleotides in length. Their secondary structure includes four short double-helical elements and three loops (D, anti-codon, and T loops). The record is from RNAcentral. Lineage: Eukaryota; Metazoa; Chordata; Actinopteri; Perciformes; Trachinidae. RNAcentral also lists the same sequence under 1 other name.
CAGAGUUUAGUUUAACGUAGGAAAACAUCUCCCUUACACUGAGAAGACUGUCCGUGCAAACCGGAUUGCUCUGA